GCAUAUCAAUAAGCGGAGGAAAAGAAAAUAACAAUGAUUUCCCUAGUAACGGCGAGUGAAGAGGAAAGAGCUCAAAGUUGGAACCUGUUUGGCUUAGCUAAACCGGAUUGUAAACUGUAGAAGUGUUUUCCAGACACGCCUGGUAAAAAAGUCCUUUGGAACAGGGCAUCAUAGAGGGUGAGAAUCCCGUCAUUGGCCAGAGCUGUUGUCUUUUGUGAUACAUUUUCAAAGAGUCAGGUUGUUUGGGAAUGCAGCCUAAAUUGGGUGGUAAAUCUCACCUAAAGCUAAAUAUUUGCGAGAGACCGAUAGCGAACAAGUACCGUGAGGGAAAGAUGAAAAGAACUUUGAAAAGAGAGUUAAACAGUAUGUGAAAUUGUUAAAAGGGAACCGUUUGGAGCCAGACUGGCUUAACUGUAAUCAAUCUAGGCUUUGGCCUGGAUGCACUUGCGGUUUAUGCCGGCCAACGACAGUUUUGUUUGAGGGAAAAAAUUACAUUGAAUGUGGCCCUUCGGGGUGUUAUAGCUUUGUAAAAAAUACCUUGGACUGGACUGAGGAACGCAGUGAAUGCCUUUAGGCAAGAUUGCUGGGUGCUUUCGCUAAUAAAUGCUAGAAUUUCUGCUUCGGGUGGUGCUAGUGUUUAAAGGAGGAACUCGCUUAGUAUAUUUUUUAUUCGCUUAGGUUGUUGGCUUAAUGACUCUAAAUGACCCGUCUUGAAACACGGACCAAGGAGUCCACCAUAAGUGCGAGUAUUUGGGUGACAAACCCAUAUGCGCAAGGAAACUGAUUGAUACGAAGGCUUUAAGCUGGCAGUAUCACCCGGCGUUGACGUUUUAUACUGAACUGACCGAGGUAAAGCACUUAUGAUGGGACCCGAAAGAUGGUGAACUAUGCCUGAAUAGGGUGAAGCCGGAGGAAACUCCGGUGGAGGCUCGUAGCGAUUCUGACGUGCAAAUCGAUCGUCAAAUUUGGGUAUAGGGGCGAAAGACUAAUCGAACCAUCUAGUAGCUGGUUCCUGCCGA
RNAcentral lists this ribosomal RNA (1019 nucleotides) under Mucor hiemalis f. hiemalis. RNAcentral's name for it is "LSU rRNA". It matches the Rfam family "Eukaryotic large subunit ribosomal RNA", at positions 38 to 964 of the family's 3401-position model. The record is from RNAcentral. Lineage: Eukaryota; Fungi; Mucoromycota; Mucoromycetes; Mucorales; Mucoraceae.